ACUCAAAUGAAUUGACGGGGACCCGCACAAGCGGUGGAGCAUGUGGAUUAAUUCGAUACUAACCGAAGAACCUUACCCAGGUUUGACAUCGAUUGUAAGCCCGAGAGAUCGGGCCCUCCCUCACAAGGGGACAUGAAGACACUUGUUGCAUGGCUGUCGUCAGCUCGUGCCGUGAGGUGUGCGGUUAAGUCCGUAAACGAGCGCAACCCUCGUCCUAUGUUGCCAGCGAGAAAGUCGGGAACUCAUAGGAGACCGCCGGUGUAAGCCGGAGGAAGGUGGGGAUGACGUCAAGUCAGCAUGGCAGUUACGCCUGGGGCUUCACACAUGCUACAAUGGGCGAAACAAUGGGCAGCAAUACCGCGAGGUGGAGCCAACCCCAAAAAUACGCCCCCAGUUCAGAUUGCAGUCUGCAACUCGACUGCAUGAAGGCGGAAUCGCUAGUAAACGCAGGUCAGCUAUACUGCGUUGAAUACGUUCCCGGGUCUUGUACACACCGCCCGU
RNAcentral lists this ribosomal RNA (501 nucleotides) under uncultured bacterium. RNAcentral's name for it is "partial 16S ribosomal RNA". It matches the Rfam family "Bacterial small subunit ribosomal RNA", at positions 899 to 1397 of the family's 1533-position model. The record is from RNAcentral.